UGCAUCUUGGGAAGGAAAUGGUAAGGUCAGGUCAGCGUGCUGGGGACAGGCCCACUCCGAGCCACCCAGAAGGCAGGAACCCACCCAAGCUCUGCUCAGGGCAUUUUUUUUCCCCUCCACCCGGGACCAACUUUCUUUGCAAUUACUUUAUUCAUUUGAAAUGCAUGUCUAAAAAAAAAUUAAAUAGUGCAGGAGGGACCCCCCCACCUUAGCAGUGUGCGGCCCCCGAGUCUGAGUCUUCGUCCUCUGGGGUAACCCCUUCUAACUCCGUCAGCUGCUGCUUUUGGCAAGCUCCUCCAUAAUUCCGUAAUUUUCAGUAGUAUAUUUCAUACCAACGUGUAUGGAUUGAUCAACUUCAGACGUUACCUAUCAACUUCUUGUUUCACAUUCUAUACUUUCUAUCACUCAUAUUUUUAAAAAUAACUUUACCGAGAUAAAACUCACGUACCAUAGAAUCCACCUAUUUAAAGUGUACAAUUCAGUAAUUUUUAGUAUAUUCACAGAUGUGUGCAGCCAUUACCACAGUUGAUUUUAGAACAUUUUCAUCAUCUCAAAAAAAAAAAUCGCACACCCCUUAGCUGUCACCCCUGCUUCAUGCGUCCCCUUCCCUCCCAACCUCCCAGUCCUAAGCAACCAACUAGGUUACUUUCUGUUUCUGUAGAUUUGCCUGUUCUGGACGUGCCAAGUGGAUGGGAUCAUAUAAUAGGUGGUCUUUUGGGACUAGCCUCUUUCACUUAGCAUCGUAUUAAUGCCUCGCUGGAGCCCUGGUGGUGCAGUGGUUAAGAGCUCAGCUGCUAACCGAAAAAUCGGCAGUUUGAAUUCACCAGCCGCCCCUUGGAAACCCUAUGGGGCAGUUCUACUCUGUCCUAUAGGGUCGCUAUGAGUCGGAAUCGACUCGAUGGCAAUGGGUUUAACUUCUUGCCAGCGACCGACAGAAGGAAAUUGAAAGCUCUACUAUGACCACCUUUCUGCAGCUCUGACCAUGCAUCACACGCCUUAAUGAAGAGGAAGAUCAAUUCAAGAAAAUAUUCUGUCACUUGUAAACCCAUGUUCCUUGCAGCAUUACUCACAACAGCCAACAGGUGGAAGCAACUGAAAUGUCCAUCAACAGAUGAAUGGACAAACGAAAUGUGGUGUAUACACACAAUGGAAUCUUCCUGUUGUGGACUGAGUGUCCCCCCCCCCCAAAAUAUCUGUCAGCUUGGCUGGGCCAUGAUUCCCAGUACUGUGUGACUGUCCACCAUUUUGUCACCUGAGGUGAUUUUCCUAUGUAUUAUAAAUCCUAUUUCUAUGAUGUUGAUGAGAUGGGAUUAUCGGCAGAUAUGUUAAUAAGGCAAGACUCAAUCUGCAAGAUUGGGUUGUGUCUUGAGCCAAUCUCUUUUGAGAUACAAAAGAGAGAGGUGAGCAGAGAGACAUGGGGACCUCAUACCACUGAGAAACCAAUGCUGGGAGCAGAGCGUGUCCUUUGGACCCAAGGUUCCUGCACUGAGAAGCUCCUCGACCAGGAGAAGACUGAUGACAAGGACCUUCCUCCAGAGCCAACAGAGAGAGAAAGCCUUCCUCUGGAGCUGAUGCCCUGAGUCUAGACUUCUAGCCUACUAGACUGUGAGAGAAGAAACUUCUGUUUGAUAAAGCCAUCCACUUGUGGUAUUUCUGUUAUAGCAGUACUGGGUAACUUAGACUAUUAGUCACAAAGAGAAGUGAAGUCCUGAAACAUGCUACAAUAUGGGUGAACCUUGAAAACAUUAUGCUGAGUGAAGUAAGACAACCACAAAAGGACAAAUAUUGAAUGAUCCCACUUAGAUGAAAUAUCUAAAACAGGCAAAUGUCUAAAGGCUGAAGUUUAUUACUUGCUAUCAGGGGUGAGAGGCAUGGGAAAAGGGGCACUGAAUUUCUAUUAAUGGUGGCGGAAUUGGGAAAAGGGCAGUGAUAAGGCUGCACAACACGCUGAACUAAGAAAGCUAGGGAGGAAGAAAAUGUAAAUAAAAAUUAAAAACUGCGUAUGUUUACCUUGAACCUACAAUUCAACCCUAGACCACUGCUCAAGACAGAAAAACAAAAGUCUAGCAGUUUGGCAAAGUCCCUUAAUGUCACUGAAUCAUACAUGUAAAAAUGGACAAAUGUUUUGUCAGAUAUAUUUUUGCCACAAUUAAAAAAAAAAAUGCUUUGCCAUCAGAGGCUGGAAAUUCGGGACAUCCCUGGGCAUGGUAGGGGCAGGGAUUACAGCAGAGGUUCUUGGGGGUCUAUCUUUUCUCCUGCCUGGCCCCUGAGCUCUAACGCUGCUUCUGGGUCUGCCUCGGGCCUGAACACGGCCUCCUCGGUGCAGGGCCAUUCCCUACCGCUAAACUCAAGAAGGAGUGGUUCUCCUGUUCCCGAGCACAGGGAGCUUUCAGAGAUCCUCUGAGAACAGGUAAGCAGGACUCACCUGUUGACUGGGUGACGCAGGAGAUCUUGUAGGACAGCCAGAUGCUCAUCAGGCACAGGGAGGUGGCCAUGAAGCCGAAUAUCUGCACGGGAGAGACGGAAACCCACAGUCCAAGGGUCAGGCGCCAGGCAGUCCCAUUGCUCAUCUGUUUUCCCUCCUGUACUGACCGUGGAUGGCAGGGGCCCUGGGGAGUCACCUGAUCCAACCACCUCAUCCUUUAGGUGUAGAGAUGGAAGCCCAGAGAGGCCCAGUUGCCGACCCCAGGUCCGUAAGUGGGCUGGGUGGUCCAGGGGAGAGGCUGCGUACCCGGAUGGGGGUACAGGAAAAAAAAAAAGAUAACCCAAACUCAUUGCUGUGGAGUUGAUUCUGACUCAUACCGACCCUACAGGACAGAGUAUAGGAUUUCCAAGGCUAUAAAUCUUUAUGGAAGCAGAUUGCCACGUCUUUCUCCCUCGGAGCAGCUGGUGGGUUUGAACUGCUGACCUUUUGGUUAAAAGCUGAAUGCUUAACCGUUGUACCGCCACGGAUCCUUCUGAUAGGGGUAGUAUGGGAGAAUGUGAAUAUUGUCCAGGCACACCAGUGCACACCUGCUGCGCGUCUUGGGUCUGCAGAGAUAUCAUCCAGGCCCUGUAAGUUCUUUUCCAGAGUUUGUAAAUUUUUGUGUUUUCAGUUCUACAUAAUAUGUAGAUAUUGGUUCUAUUUAUAAACACUAAUAUAAGCAUACUCUGGAUCGUCUAUGUCUGGGGUCAGCAAACUACAGCUGGAGGGCCGAAUCACUGUUUUUGUAAAUAAAGUUUUAUUGGAACACAGCCACACCCAUUGGCUUAUGCUUUGUGUGUGACUCUGUUCUUGCUAUAAUGGGUCUACUGGAUGGCCAACAAAGCUUAAAAAUAUUUACUAUCCAGACCUUUAUAGAAAAUGUUUAUUGAUCCCUGUUCUAAGAGAUUUCUAUAUAACCAUGAAGUGCAAAGCAAUUUCAAUCCCAUGUUUGGGUUUAUGUUUACAACUGGUUGGCUCCAAGCUAUUGUACUUUAAUUAUCCUGGGUUCAUAAAGAAGAAAAAGACGGAACUGUAAAACUUAAUUUGUUUUUUAAAAAUUUUAACAUUACAGUGAAUUUUAUUGGGGUAGCACUGUUUGUGCUUCAUUUGUAAAUUUCAUUUGUAAAUCUGUUCUAGCCCGUAGCAUAGCCUGGUUAGAGCCAGAAGCAGAGGCCUUUAGGCCUCAGUUUACCUUUGCACGUAUUUAAAUAAUAUGAAAUGAAAAUAAGUCAAGGCAGAGCUCUUUUCCUUUUUCAGGCUCCAGCCCAGUGCUCAAGUGCGAGGAAAGCUGGCUGGGUCUAGUAAGACCUCUUCACUUUAUACGGGAGGAACAGGGCCCCCCGGGAGGAGGAGGGCCUUCCACAAGGAGAAGCAAGUGCAAACCUUGGUCUCUUUGGCACUCUGAAGCCUGGAGUCCUUUCCGUAUUUGUGAGCAACACUGGCAGCUGUAGCAGCUAAAAUUCAUUGAGCGUUACUAUGUGCCAGCCGGUGCGCCAAGCCCUUUAUGGUUGUUGUUAGUUGCUGCUGAGUUGAUUCCUGUUCAUGGCGGUCCCACGUAUGCAGUAGAACUGCUCCAUAGGGUCUUCAAGGCUGUGACCUUUUAGAAGCAAAUCACCAGGCUCGUCUUCCGAGGCACCUCUGAGUGGGUUUGAACCACCAAUCUCUCGGCUAGCAGUUGAGCAUGUUGUAUUUGCAUCACCCACGGACCCCUAAGCCUUUUACAGGUGUGUUGGUUCCUUUAACCCUCACAGCUCUGCCAGCUGGGUGCUAGUAUCACCCCACCCCCACCCCUGCCAUUUUACAGCUAAAGACAAGGGGGACAGGAAGUCAAUUAUUUUGCCUAAGGCCACAGAAAACACGGGCAAGGGGCAAGGAUGGGAUUUGAGCCCCAGGAGCCUGGCUCCUGCAUCCACGCUCGGCUGUACUCAUUGUCCAAGCGGUCUCAGACUUGGGUUCGCCACGCCGUCCCUCGUGUAAAGCCAGGCUCAGCAGCUAAAAGCAAACAGGAAUGGCCCAGGAGCAGCCAGACGAAGGGCAGGAUUCUCAACAAGGUCUGUUUUCUUCUUUUGGGCUUGGUUGCUGGUUUGUAUGAACAGCUGACCCCACCAGCUCACAUCCAGCUCUCCCUCCUUCCCUGAGUUCCCCUCCUUGGCUCCUUUUGUACCAAUUGUUCGCACCACAUAAUUUGCCUCUUGGAGCCUGUCCUGGCCUCUCAUGGUCUGCUUUGCACAAUUGGUACAUUAUAUACCAUCCUGGUCUCCACUGUCUGCCCUGCAUAACUGAACGGUUUAUUAUAUUGCUCUAUAAUGCCGUUCUAGACGACACCGCCUUGUUUGCAGAUCCUUUCAUAUGCCUUGGCCUCUCCUCCUAAACUAGACUACGACUUUCUCAUAAGCAAGGAUUCUAUCAAGUAUUUCUUCUGCCCCAUCCCCACCCCGCAGGUCCAAGGUUGGGUCCUAGGCACAAGGAUGAUGUCUGACUAAGGCUCGCUGGGGGGUGGAUUCCAGGGUUGGCACGGUAAGUACAGCCUGACUCAUAACACUCAGCGGGACUCUCCCCGUGGGGCCCCUGAAGCAGAGGGCAUGGGUUUCCUCAGCAUCUCUUCCACCACCUGCCCUGCGUGGGGCAGCGAGGAGCCUGCGGGUGGCGACCAACACUGACCUCAGAGGCAGCCCGGGGGAGGUGGGGGGCUUGGAGGCAGUUACGGAGCAUCAGCAUUUAGAGGCCUGGACGCGCCCUGCGCAGUGAAGCUCUGCCGCGUGCAGACCUUUGGAGGAUAGACUCCGGCCCUCAGCCAACCUACUUCUCCCACCUAGAGUCUGGAGAAUUUCGGGAACAUAUGUGAGCAAAAGACGGUGACGGCCGCUCAGAGCUCAGAGCUUUGCUCAAAACUCGAGGUAAAAAUCUUGCCUGUUCAUCCGUUAAACGAAUCAGUAUGGGCCCACAGCUACCACACUGGAGACAACCGGCUAAAUCAGAAAUGAAAUCGCAAAUCAGAUGACAGGGAUCUAUGAACCUUCUUAAAAAACACACACACACACACAUACAUAUAUAUACACACACAUCUAUGUAUAUAUAUGUACAUAUCCAUGUAACUGUGUAUAUGUGUGCAUAUAGUGUAAGGACACACACAUAUACACACGUACGUAUAUAUGUACAUAUCUAUAACUGUACGUAUAUGUGUGCAUAUAAUGUAAGUACACACACAAUACACACAUCUAUGUAUAUGUACAUAUCUACGUAACUAUGUAUGUAUAUGUGUGCAUAUAAACACACACACAUAUAUAUGCAUACAUCUAUGUAUAUAUGUACAUAUCCAUGUAACUGUGUAUGUGUUUAUGUGCAAAUAAUGUAAGUACACACACACACACACACACACCUCCCACAGCCCUGUAUUCAUUCAUCAGAUGGAUCAGUUUUUACCUCUGAAAAGUACAGGAAUGAUGCCUUUGCUGGCCUGAGUACUAUUAAAAGCCAGGAAUGGCAAUUCUAGGAUUCGCCUAACUGAUCAUAGAACCCUUCCCCUGGGCCUAACGGAGACCUCUGAAUCUUCCCCUGCAUUGUGCUGAGGCAGCCACGAACGAUCAGAGCGGGCAUGUGAAUUAGAACCUAUUCGCCAGCUGAUUUAAAUGGUGGCUGUAGGAGAGAGAGCCUGGGAUUUGCAGAUGAGAUCCUCCAUCGUGGGCCCAGGUUUAAGGCUCUUGGGAGAUGGUAGCAUCAAGGUGGGUGCUGAUUUUGCAGAAAAGGGCCCCCAAAACCAGCCCCUCUUCUGCCCCCAUCAGGAAGAAGACAAGCACUUGAAACAUGAAUUCAUUCCUAAAAGCUCCCCCGAGAGACCAUCCUCACCGCUCCGGCCACCAGUCCGCUCACGCCGUAGCUCUUGGAGGCUGCCACGAUGGAGGCGAUUAAGAGAAGCAGGGUGCCGAUUAAAUAAUGCAGGAGCUCCUGGGGGCAAAAAUAGAGCAGAGCCGUGGGUAGGGAGGUCCACUCCUGGUUCUUAGACAGCAACCGGACAUCAGAGAAGAUGCAAAGACGGGGAGACAGUGAUACUUCCUCUUGCUCCUUGCAACAUGCCCACAGGAGGCCCACCGCAGCUUGCAGGCAGCAAACGCAGAAGGAAGAGGCCCAGGCGAAAGAGAGGAAAGAUGGCGGGCAAGCAGGAAGGGAAGGGGACAAAGAGAAAGAAAGCGUCUCAUGUGAGUAGAGACAGCCACUCAAGGACAGCUUCAUUCGUGAGAUCAAUUUGUAGGCAGUAUCUUUGACCUCUGACCAAAGCAAAUAAGCCUCUCUCAACUCCCCAGCUGGAGAGGUUCAAUGAAGCUCCAGCUCCCAGAAGCAAAGCCCCAUAGAGAUGUAUCUUCUUCUGCUUCAGAGAAAGUUCCAGGCUGACAAUGUGCUGGCUUUGCGUGGCUGAUCAGAGUGUCUGCCCAUUCUGUGAACAGCCCCAAGUGAGGAACAAGAGGUGCUUGGACCCCCCAGACUCAGAGUCAGAGCCUAGAAAGAGGUCAGCUCUGAAACGUUCUGUGGGUGUGUGGUGGGAGCUGGCUUUCUCACUCCUAAGUCCUCCUGGUUUUGUCCUCAUUCUGUCAUUCCCCCUUCUCUUCUCUUCAGAAGUGUGUAUCAGGCCAAGCCCUGCCACCUGUAAGUCUACUGGCAGGGUCAACGCUGCCUUUGCUUCUCACCAUGGACCACUGGGCCACCCAUUUCCACCUCAUUCACCCCUCAUGAUUAAAAGGCCAUUUUUGCAGGCCCAGGACAGACGGAUGAAGGUCUGUUAUUCAGCAGCACAGGAAUGCUUCCAUUUCACCCUUCCCCUUUCUAUUAAACAAAUCAGAAGGGAAUCAGGAAUUACAGCCAUCCCUUUUCAGUUGUCUUUAAUGAGAAUUUAGAAAUGAUUCCAUUGUGAUGUUCUGCCCAACAGGCAGGCAGCUAUUAAACUUUGGAGAAGCAUCCCACUGUUACACUGCUAAUCCCCUCCAGGCUGUGUGAAAUCAAAGAACCUGGUUUCUCCAUUAGUGACUAGAAAGGAGUAUAAUGAGGUGAAUCACAGAGAUUUUGGCUAAAAAGCAGGUUAGUACCUGGAAGUUCUCCACCUCCAAGGCCACCCAUGAAGAAAGAAGAGGAUGGCAUGGGAUAGGGAAAACCAACUUGAAAGAGUCUUAACAUGAAGCCAUUUAGAGAGUACUCAGCCAAAAAUGUGUGGUUGAGCAAAAAAAAAAAAAAAAAACUCUUAAAAUAAUAUAGUGGAUAAUAACAUUAAAUGUAAAUGGAUUAAACAAUCCAGUCAAAAAAGCAGAGGUAGUCAGACUGAACCAAAAAUAAAAAAGAUUCAACAUAUAGUAGAAUAUGUGAUAUAAAGGAGACACACUUUAGAUUCAAAGAAAACAAAUUGAAAGUGAAAGGACAGAAAAAGAUAUAUCAUGCAAAGGAAGCUGGAGUAGCUAUACAAAUACAAACAAAAUAGGCUUAAUAACAAAAAUGUUAGUAGUGCUAAAGAGGGACAUUUUAUAAUGAUAAAAGAGUGACUCCAUCAUGAAGAUAUAACAAUUAUAAACAUAUAUGCACCUAAUAACUGAGCAUCAAAAUACAUGAAGCAAAAACUGACAGAAAUAGGUAGUUCAAUAAUAAUAGUUGGAGCACCAAUGUCUCAUUUUCAAUAAUGAAUAGAAAAACCAAGCAGAAAAUCAACAAGUAAACAGAAGACUUGAACAACAGUAUAAACUAACUAGACCUAGCAGACAUCUCUAGAACACUCUACCCAACAAUAGCAGAGUACACAAUUUUUUCAAGUGCAUAGGAAACAUUCUUAAGAUAGACCAUAUGCUAGGAUAUAAAACAAACCUCAAUAAAUUUAAAAAGAUUGAAAUAAUACAAUGUAUGCUCUCCAACCACACUGGAAUGAAAAUAGAAAUCAAUAACAAAAACAAUUUGGAAAAGUCACAAGUUAGUGAAAAUUAAACAACACACCCCUAAAUAACCAAUGGGUUAAAGAAAAGACAUCAGGGAAAUUUUAUAGUGGUAAAUGCCUAUAUUAAAGAAGAAGAGAAAUCUCAAUUUAACAAUCUAAAUUUCUACCUUAAGACACUAGAAAAAGGAGCGCAAACUAAACCAAAAUCAAGCAGAAGAAAGGAAAUAAAGAUUGGAGUGAAAAUUAAUGAAAUAGAGAACAGAAUAACAAUAGAGAAAAAUCAAUGUAACUAAACGCUGAUUCUUUGAGAAAGAUCAACAAAAUUGAGAAACCUUUAGUUAGAAUGACCAAGAAAGAAAGAGACAAGACUCAAAUUACUAUAAUAAAAAAUGAAAGAGGGGACAUGACUACUGACCUUACAGAAAUAAAAAGGAUUUAAAAGGAAUACUAUGAAAAACUGUAUGCCAGUAAAUUAGAUAACUUAGAUGAAAUGAACAAAUCCUAGAAAUACACAAACUAAAAAAAAAACAAAAUUUAUUUUUUUUAGAUGAAAUGAACAAAUCCUAGAAAUACAAACUAAAAAAAAAAACAAAAUUUAUUUUUUUUAGAUGAAAUGAACAAAUCCUAGAAAUACACAAACUACUGAAAACUGACUCAAGAAGAAAUAGACAAUCUGAAUAGACCUACGAGUGAAGAGAUAAAAUUAAACAAAAAACUACCCAAAAAGAAAAGCUCAGGCCCAGAUGGCUUCACUGUUGAAUUCCACCAAACAUUUAAAGAAUUAAUACCAAUUCUUCAUGCAUCCUUCCAAAAAUAGGAGAUGAACACUUCCCAACUCAGGCUAUGAAGCCAGUAUUACCAAAACCAGACAAAGAUACAGCAAGACAAGAAAACUUCAGGCCAACGUCUCUUAGAAUAUGCAUGCAAAAAUCCUCAGCAAAACACUAGCAAACUGAAUCUAGCAACAUAUAAAAAGAAUUAUACACUAUAACCAAUUGGAAUUUAUCCCUGAGAUGAAAGAUUGUUUUAACAUCUCAAAAUCAUUCUAACACACCAUGUCAAUAGACUAAAAACAAACAAAAAAAAAAAACACCACAGAUCAUCUCAAUAGAUGCAGAAAGAGUUUUACAAAAAUCCAGCACUCUUUCAUAAAAUCAAAACAAACGAAACACACUCAAACUAGGAAUAGAAGGGAAUUUCCUCAACCUGAUAAAGGGCAUUUAUGAAAAACCCACAGCUAACAUCAUACUUAAUGGUGAUGAACUCGAUGCUUUCCCUUUAAGACCAGGAACAAAAUAGGAUGUCCACUCUCACCACUUCUACUCAACAUUGUACUGGAGGUUUUAGACAAGACAAUUAGGCAAGCAAAGAAAUAAAAGGUAUCCUGAAUGGAAAAGAAGAAGUAAAAUCAUCUCUAUUUGCAGAUGAUAUGAUCUUAUAUAUAGAAAAUUCUAAGGAAUCCACUAAAAAACUAUUAGGACUAAUAAACACGUUUAGCAAGGCUUGUAGGAUACAAAAUCAAUAUACAAAAACCAGUUGUAUUUCUAUACACUAACAAUGAACAAUCCAAAAAUGAAAUUAAGAAAACAAUUCCAUUUGAAAUAGCAUCAAAAAAAAAAAAAAUAAAA
Molecule: long non-coding RNA, 10000 nt
Organism: Loxodonta africana (African savanna elephant)
Lineage: Eukaryota; Metazoa; Chordata; Mammalia; Proboscidea; Elephantidae
Exons: 2
Source: RefSeq, a predicted model, not a curated record